Molecule: ribosomal RNA, 376 nt
Filed under: uncultured bacterium
Lineage: Bacteria
Description: bacterial SSU rRNA
Rfam family: Bacterial small subunit ribosomal RNA
Source: RNAcentral
UAAUACGUAGGGGGCGAGCGUUGUCCGGAAUUAUUGGGCGUAAAGAGCGUGUAGGCGGUUCGGUAAGUCUGCUGUGAAAUCCUGGGGCUCAACCCUGGGCGUGCAGCGGAUACUGCCGGGCUAGAGGAUGGUAGAGGCGAGUGGAAUUCCCGGUGUAGCGGUGAAAUGCGCAGAUAUCGGGAGGAACACCAGUAGCGAAGGCGGCUCGCUGGGCCAUUCCUGACGCUGAGACGCGAAAGCAUGGGGAGCGAACAGGAUUAGAUACCCUGGUAGUCCAUGCCGUAAACGAUGAACACUAGGUGUGGGCGGAGUCGAAUCUGUCUGUGCCGAAGCCAACGCUUUAAGUGUUCCGCCUGGGGAGUACGGCCGCAAGGCU